Molecule: long non-coding RNA, 273 nt
Filed under: Musa acuminata (dwarf banana)
Lineage: Eukaryota; Viridiplantae; Streptophyta; Magnoliopsida; Zingiberales; Musaceae
Description: long non-coding RNA (MACU_LNC011229)
Source: RNAcentral
GAAGCUCCAACUCUUCGGAUGGCAGACGUAGAAGUAGCGCUCCUUCCACCCCUUGUUGCUGGAAGGAGCCCCACUGACACGGAAACCCGGUCGGGCGGACAAAUAGUAGCCCCCCGACCCUCUGGAUAGACGGAAACAUGAGAGGAAAAGGGACCGACUCGGAGUGAUCUGGGCGUAGUAGCAUUCCCCGAGGAAUGCCACCAGAUAGCGCCAAGAAUUCGGCGCCAUCUGAGAAGGAGAAAUGCGCCACCACGCGACGCAGGCAGUAAUGAC